Molecule: ribosomal RNA, 253 nt
Filed under: uncultured bacterium
Lineage: Bacteria
Description: partial 16S ribosomal RNA
Rfam family: Bacterial small subunit ribosomal RNA
Source: RNAcentral
UACGUAGGGGGCAAGCGUUGUCCGGAAUCACUGGGCGUAAAGCGCGCGCAGGCGGUCAUCUACGUCUGGGGUGAAAGCCCGGAGCUCAACUCCGGGAUUGCCUUGGAUACGGGAUGACUUGAGGAUCGGAGAGGCAAAGGGAAUUCCACGUGUAGCGGUGAAAUGCGUAGAGAUGUGGAGGAACACCUGUGGCGAAGGCGCCUUGCUGGCCGAUUUCUGACGCUGAGGCGCGAAAGCGUGGGGAGCAAACAGG